This 286-nucleotide long non-coding RNA is filed under the name Lathyrus oleraceus (garden pea). Its description in RNAcentral is "Pisum sativum (pea) long non-coding RNA (PSAT_LNC030556)". The record is from RNAcentral. Lineage: Eukaryota; Viridiplantae; Streptophyta; Magnoliopsida; Fabales; Fabaceae.
UCUAGUGAUGCCAAUUUCUUCUGGGGGAAUAACUGGCUUUGCUUGGGAAUAGAAUUGGUAACGGAUUCAUUGGAAAGCAUGGUCAGACCUUCUGCUCGAUCCUGAAGUCUUGUAGUAAUCGUUAUUUCUAUUUUAUGCAUGCAUUUUCGGUAAACAUCAAUCAUAUUCAAAUGCAUAUAUUAAUUCAAAUUAACUCAAUGGACAUUUACGCAAACAAAACAGAGAAAGUACAACAAAAGUAUCUUUUUGGGAACAAAAUUGUAUUGAUUUUGAAAGAGGGCCUAUA